Molecule: ribosomal RNA, 497 nt
Filed under: uncultured bacterium
Lineage: Bacteria
Description: partial 16S ribosomal RNA
Rfam family: Bacterial small subunit ribosomal RNA
Source: RNAcentral
GAUGAACGCUGGCGGCGUGCCUAAUACAUGCAAGUCGAGCGAACAGACGAGGAGCUUGCUCCUCUGACGUUAGCGGCGGACGGGUGAGUAACACGUGGAUAACCUACCUAUAAGACUGGGAUAACUUCGGGAAACCGGAGCUAAUACCGGAUAAUAUAUUGAACCGCAUGGUUCAAUAGUGAAAGACGGUUUUGCUGUAACUUAUAGAUGGAUCCGCGCCGCAUUAGCUAGUUGGUAAGGUAACGGCUUAUCAAGGCAACGAUGCGUAGCCGACGUGAGAGGGUGAUCGGCCACACUGGAACUGAGACACGGUCCAGACUCCUACGGGAGGCAGCAGUAGGGAAUCGUCCGCAAUGGGCGGAAGCUUGACGGAGCAACGCCGCGUGAGUGAUGAAGGUCUUCGGAUCGUAAAACUCUGUUAUUAGUGAAGAACAAAUGUGUAAGUAACUAUGCACGUCUUGACGGUACCUAAUCAGAAAGCCACGGCUAACUACGUG